GGCAAGAUGGCCGAGCGGUUAAGGCGUGUGACUCAAGCUUAGCUUGCCUGCAGUGGCAGGUUUUCUCAUAACGUAAUGUUGCGUGGGUUCGAAUCCCACUCUUGUCA
RNAcentral lists this transfer RNA (107 nucleotides) under Agrocybe pediades. It matches the Rfam family "tRNA". From Rfam's summary of the family: Transfer RNA (tRNA) molecules are approximately 80 nucleotides in length. The record is from Rfam by way of RNAcentral. Lineage: Eukaryota; Fungi; Basidiomycota; Agaricomycetes; Agaricales; Agrocybaceae.